AGACAGCUAGGAGGUUGGCUUAGAAGCAGCCACCCUUUAAAGAAAGCGUAAUAGCUCACUAGUCGAGUCGGCCUGCGCGGAAGAUGUAACGGGGCUAAGCAAUAUACCGAAGCUGCGGCAGCACGUAAGUGCUGGGUAGGGGAGCGUUGUGUAAGUGGAUGAAGGUGAAUCGAGAGGUUUGCUGGACAUAUCACAAGUGCGAAUGCUGACAUGAGUAACGAUAAUGGGGGUGAAAAACCCCCACGCCGGAAGACCAAGGUUUCCUGUCCCAUGCUAAUCAGGGCAGGGUAAGUCGGCCCCUAAGGCGAGGCAGAAAUGCGUAGUCGAUGGGAAACGGGUUAAUAUUCCCGUACUUUUAUAUACAGUGAUGGGGUGACGGAGAAGGCUAGGCUGGCGUGGCGUUGGUUGUCCACGUGAAAGUGCGUAGAUUGAGUGUUUUGGUAAAUCCGGACACUCUUAAGGUCGAGACACGAGACGAGCGACUACGGUCGUGAAGCAGUUGAUGCCCGGCUUCCAGGAAAAACUUCUAAGCUUCAGAUAAUGUGAGACCGUACCCCAAACCGACACAGGUGGUCAGGUAGAGAAUACCAAGGCGCUUGAGAGAACUCGGGUAAAGGAACUAGGCAAAAUGGUGCCGUAACUUCGGGAGAAGGCACGCCGGUGGUAUGUGACGCCCUUCGCGGGUU
Molecule: ribosomal RNA, 686 nt
Filed under: Scyphosphaera apsteinii
Lineage: Eukaryota; Haptophyta; Coccosphaerales; Pontosphaeraceae
Description: partial Bacterial large subunit ribosomal RNA
Rfam family: Bacterial large subunit ribosomal RNA
Source: RNAcentral